GUGGGGAAUAUUGGGCAAUGGGCGAAAGCCUGACCCAGCAACGCCGCGUGAGGGAAGAAGGUUUUCGGAUUGUAAACCUCUGUCCUCAGGGAAGAAGGAAGUGACGGUACCUGAGGAGGAAGCCCCGGCUAACUACGUGCCAGCAGCCGCGGUAAUACGUAGGGGGCGAGCGUUGUCCGGAAUGACUGGGCGUAAAGGGCGCGUAGACGGCUGUCUAAGUCUGGAGUGAAAGUCCUGUUUUCAAGGCGGGAAUUGCUUUGGAGACUGGAUGGCUUGAGUGCGGAAGAGGUAAGUGGAAUUCCCAGUGUAGCGGUGAAAUGCGUAGAGAUUGGGAGGAACACCAGUGGCGAAGGCGACUUACUGGGCCGUAACUGACGUUGAAGCGCGAAAGCGUGGGGAGCGAACAGGAUUAGAAACCCGGGUAGUCC
This 428-nucleotide ribosomal RNA is filed under the name uncultured bacterium. RNAcentral describes it as "partial 16S ribosomal RNA". It matches the Rfam family "Bacterial small subunit ribosomal RNA", at positions 354 to 796 of the family's 1533-position model. The record is from RNAcentral.